RNAcentral lists this ribosomal RNA (542 nucleotides) under uncultured bacterium. RNAcentral's name for it is "bacterial SSU rRNA". It matches the Rfam family "Bacterial small subunit ribosomal RNA", at positions 355 to 896 of the family's 1533-position model. The record is from RNAcentral.
UGAGGAAUAUUGGUCAAUGGGCGAGAGCCUGAACCAGCCAAGUAGCGUGCAGGAAGACGGCCCUAUGGGUUGUAAACUGCUUUUAUGCGGGGAUAAAGUGAGGGACGUGCCCUUCAUUGCAGGUACCGCAUGAAUAAGGACCGGCUAAUUCCGUGCCAGCAACCGCGGUAAUACGGAAGGUCCAGGCGUUAUCCGGAUUUAUUGGGUUUAAAGGGAGCGUAGGCCGUGGAUUAAGCGUGUUGUGAAAUGCAGGUGCUCAACGUCUGCACUGCAGCGCGAACUGGUCCACUUGAGUGUGCGCAACGCAGGCGGAAUUCGUCGUGUAGCGGUGAAAUGCUUAGAUAUGACGAAGAACUCCGAUUGCGAAGGCAGCUUGCGGGAGCACAACUGACGCUGAAGCUCGAAAGUGCGGGUAUCGAACAGGAUUAGAUACCCUGGUAGUCCGCACGGUAAACGAUGGAUGCCCGUUGUCAGGCUGUUUCAGCCUGGUGACCAAGCGAAAGCAUUAAGCAUCCCACCUGGGGAGUACGCCGGCAACGGUG